This 465-nucleotide ribosomal RNA is filed under the name Vreelandella stevensii. RNAcentral's name for it is "partial 16S ribosomal RNA". It matches the Rfam family "Bacterial small subunit ribosomal RNA", at positions 338 to 795 of the family's 1533-position model. Lineage: Bacteria; Pseudomonadati; Pseudomonadota; Gammaproteobacteria; Oceanospirillales; Halomonadaceae. The record is from RNAcentral.
CCUACGGGUGGCUGCAGUGGGGAAUAUUGGACAAUGGGCGAAAGCCUGAUCCAGCCAUGCCGCGUGUGUGAAGAAGGCCUUCGGGUUGUAAAGCACUUUCAGUGGGGAAGAAAGCCUUGGGGCUAAUACCCUCGAGGAAGGACAUCACCCACAGAAGAAGCACCGGCUAACUCCGUGCCAGCAGCCGCGGUAAUACGGAGGGUGCGAGCGUUAAUCGGAAUUACUGGGCGUAAAGCGCGCGUAGGCGGUCUGAUAAGCCGGUUGUGAAAGCCCCGGGCUCAACCUGGGAACGGCAUCCGGAACGGUCAGGCUAGAGUGCAGGAGAGGAAGGUAGAAUUCCCGGUGUAGCGGUGAAAUGCGUAGAGAUCGGGAGGAAUACCAGUGGCGAAGGCGGCCUUCUGGACUGACACUGACGCUGAGGUGCGAAAGCGUGGGUAGCAAACAGGAUUAGAUACCCGGGUAGUC